This 800-nucleotide ribosomal RNA is filed under the name uncultured bacterium. RNAcentral describes it as "bacterial SSU rRNA". It matches the Rfam family "Bacterial small subunit ribosomal RNA", at positions 8 to 802 of the family's 1533-position model. The record is from RNAcentral.
AGAGUUUGAUCCUGGCUCAGAUUGAACGCUGGCGGCAGGCCUAACACAUGCAAGUCGAGCGGAUGAAGGGAGCUUGCUCCUGGAUUCAGCGGCGGACGGGUGAGUAAUGCCUAGGAAUCUGCCUGGUAGUGGGGGAUAACGUCCGGAAACGGGCGCUAAUACCGCAUACGUCCUGAGGGAGAAAGUGGGGGAUCUUCGGACCUCACGCUAUCAGAUGAGCCUAGGUCGGAUUAGCUAGUUGGUGGGGUAAAGGCCUACCAAGGCGACGAUCCGUAACUGGUCUGAGAGGAUGAUCAGUCACACUGGAACUGAGACACGGUCCAGACUCCUACGGGAGGCAGCAGUGGGGAAUAUUGGACAAUGGGCGAAAGCCUGAUCCAGCCAUGCCGCGUGUGUGAAGAAGGUCUUCGGAUUGUAAAGCACUUUAAGUUGGGAGGAAGGGCAGUAAGUUAAUACCUUGCUGUUUUGACGUUACCAACAGAAUAAGCACCGGCUAACUUCGUGCCAGCAGCCGCGGUAAUACGAAGGGUGCAAGCGUUAAUCGGAAUUACUGGGCGUAAAGCGCGCGUAGGUGGUUCAGCAAGUUGGAUGUGAAAUCCCCGGGCUCAACCUGGGAACUGCAUCCAAAACUACUGAGCUAGAGUACGGUAGAGGGUGGUGGAAUUUCCUGUGUAGCGGUGAAAUGCGUAGAUAUAGGAAGGAACACCAGUGGCGAAGGCGACCACCUGGACUGAUACUGACACUGAGGUGCGAAAGCGUGGGGGAGCAAACAGGAUUAGAUACCCUGGUAGUCCACGCCC